AAGUCGUAACAAGGUUUCCGUAGGUGAACCUGCGGAAGGAUCAUUAACGAAUAACUAUGGUGUUGGUUGUAGCUGGCUCCUCGGAGCAAUGUGCACGCCCGCCAUUUUUAUCUUUCCACCUGUGCACCGACUGUAGGUCUGGAUACCUCUCGCCUCCGGGCGGAUGCGAGGGUUGCUCGUAAGGGCUUCCCUUGAACUUCCAGGCUCUACGUCUUUUUACACACCCCAAUAGUAUGAUGCAGAAUGUAGUCAAUGGGCUUCUCAGCCUAUAAAACACUAUACAACUUUCAGCAACGGAUCUCUUGGCUCUC
RNAcentral lists this unclassified non-coding RNA (311 nucleotides) under Coprinellus xanthothrix. RNAcentral's name for it is "partial internal transcribed spacer region". The stretch from base 1 to 46 matches the Rfam family "Eukaryotic small subunit ribosomal RNA", at positions 1786 to 1831 of the family's 1831-position model. Lineage: Eukaryota; Fungi; Basidiomycota; Agaricomycetes; Agaricales; Psathyrellaceae. The record is from RNAcentral.